AAUGUUCUGUUACAAGCAUUUUUUAAAAAAUUGUUUUAAAGUUUAUGCAUAGAUAUUGAAAUUAUCUUUUAAUGGUAUAUAAAUGUAUAGUUUAAUUAUGCAUAAAAAGAUAUUAAUUUUCUACACAUGUCUUUAGAAAAAAUUAAAUGGUACAAAAUAAUAAGAGAAUCUCUCUGUCUCUGUAUUCUCUCACUACAAUCUCUUACAAAGAGAAAUGAGAAGAGAUUAACAGUCUUGUUUUUUUGUUCUUCUGACUGAUCAGAGCUUUUUGUUUGGCAAAACCGACUUAUUCUAAAUAGCGGAUUUCUCUUCGUUUUGACUACCUUUUUGUUGUGUUUCCCAAACCAAAAUCUAUUCUGAUUUUCAUGUUUUACUUCAGCGAUUUUUGUUUGAGUAAAUAAACAUCUAUGAAUAUUUGAAAGAAUUUCUUGUUUCAUUGAUCAUCUUAACCAUUUUUGUAGGAGAAUUAGACUUCACUUUCUAUUAGACGUCUAUGAAUUUUCCGGUGAAGCAUAUCCGAUUGAGAAAGAGUCACAGCUAAGGUGGAAAUCAUCUCAAGGAAGUACACGAUUAAGCGUUUUGAGCUUAUGAUGGUUGAACAGAAAAAGCUCUGCCGGAGGAUUUCAUCUGCAUCAGCGAUGAGAUGAGUCGUGUCUUGCACAAAGCCUAGAUGAGUGCCAUGUAGCCUGAAUAUGUUGAAUGCCUAACAUGUAUGACCUUAGAUCUGUAAAUUUUUAUUUUAAACCGGUCAUAUGUUUGGGUGUCUGGUAAACCUUAAAUUUCUUUUUUUUUGUCAUGAAAUCUUAAGUUUCUUAACCAUGUAUUUCAAGAGGUUUAAUGUGAUUUGGUAACAAAAUAAAUAAAUAAAAUGGUAGUGAGAGUACCA
This is a long non-coding RNA of Raphanus sativus (radish), 886 nucleotides long. RefSeq lists it as uncharacterized. The record is from RefSeq and is a predicted model, not a curated record. Lineage: Eukaryota; Viridiplantae; Streptophyta; Magnoliopsida; Brassicales; Brassicaceae. The transcript has 2 exons.